This 460-nucleotide ribosomal RNA is filed under the name uncultured bacterium. RNAcentral describes it as "partial 16S ribosomal RNA". It matches the Rfam family "Bacterial small subunit ribosomal RNA", at positions 338 to 795 of the family's 1533-position model. The record is from RNAcentral.
CCUACGGGAGGCAGCAGUGAGGAAUAUUGGUCAAUGGACGCGAGCCUGACCCAGCAAAGUAGCGUGAAGGAUGACUGCCCUACGGGUUGUAAGCUUCUUUUAUAAAGGAAUAAAGUGAGGCACGUGUGCAUUUUUGGAUGGACGUGAUGAAUAAGGAACGGCUGAGUCCGUGCCAGCAGCCGCGGUAAUACGGAGGAUACGAGCGUUAUCCUGAUUUAGUGGGUUGAAAGGGAGCGUAGAUGGGUUGUUAAGUCAGUUGUGAAGGGUUUCGGCUCAACCGUAAAAUUGCAAUUGAUACUGGCAGUCUUGAGUACAGUUGAGGUAGGUGGAAUUCGUGGUGUAGCGGUGAAAUGCUUAGAUAUCACGAAGAACUCCGAUUGCGAAGGCAGCUUACUAAACUGCCACUGACAUUGAUGCUCGAAAGUGUGGGUAUCAAACAGGAUUAGAUACCCCUGUAGUC